RNAcentral lists this ribosomal RNA (253 nucleotides) under uncultured bacterium. Its description in RNAcentral is "partial 16S ribosomal RNA". It matches the Rfam family "Bacterial small subunit ribosomal RNA", at positions 524 to 776 of the family's 1533-position model. The record is from RNAcentral.
UACGUAGGGGGCAAGCGUUGUCCGGAAUCAUUGGGCGUAAAGAGCGUGUAGGUGGCUCGGUAAGUCCGCUGUGAAAGUCCAGGGCUCAACCCUGGAAAGCCGGUGGAAACUGUCGAGCUCGAGUCCGGAAGAGGCGAGUGGAAUUCCUGGUGUAGCGGUGAAAUGCGCAGAUAUCAGGAAGAACACCCGUGGCGAAGGCGGCUCUCUGGAACGCAACUGACGCUGAGACGCGAAAGCGUGGGGAGCAAACAGG